AAGAAGAGGAGUGACUGUGAUCAGGCUGGAGACUAAAACAAAGCCAUAUGCUAGAUUUAGGGUAUAUUUUGAUCUAUCAAAAGAAAUUGUAUCCCAAAAUUCAAAAAACUUCUCUUUGAAAUACACUGUUUAUGGGGAUAAAAAGACAAACAAGAUCCUGGGAGAAAAUAUUGCAAAUCAUAUAUCCAAUAAAGUGCUUGUAUCCGAAAUAUAUAGAGAACUCCCCAAUUCAACAGUUAGAAAACAUACAGCCAGGAAAAAAUGGGCAAAAGACUUGAACAGACACUUCACCAAAAAAGAUUCAUAGAAGGCCAAUAAGUACAGGAAAAGUACUCAGCUUCAUUAGGGAAAUGCAAACUAAAACCACAGUGAGGUACACUGGGUACACUGGGUACAUGGGACAUUCCAGGUACAUGUACAGGUACAUGGAACAUUCCAUCCCAAAACAACAGAAUACAUUUUCUUUUCUAGGGCACAUGGAACAUUCUCCAUUUUUACAUGGCUAAAUUGAAAAGAUUGCAUUAUGAGUGUCAAGAAAAUGGAGGAACUGGCACUCCAUCUGUCAGAAUCUAAAAUGGUGUAGUCAUUUUGAAAAAACAUGGUCUCUUUCAUGACAUGGCCAUUUCUGUUUCAAGUAGCUGUUUUUAGACUCAAGAGAAAUGAAGAUACAUGUCCGCACAAAGGCUUACACCUAAAUGUUCAGAGUAACUUUGCUUGUAAUGGCCGCUAACGGGAAACACCUAGCUGCCUAUCAGCAGGCAAACUGAUAAACAGGCUGCAGGACCAUCCGGCUGAUGGAAUACUACUCAGCGGUGAAAAGGAAUGAGCCAGUGCUACAUGCUCCUGUAUCAGUGAAUCUCAGGGUGAUUAUAUGCUGAAUGGAAGAAGCGAAGCAACGGAGAUUACGUGUUGGAGGAAUCCAGUAACAUACACUCCUAGACAGCGUGUACUUGGGUGGAGUGAUAGGUAGGGAAGGGUUGUGGGGGAUGAGCGAGAGAUUACAGAGCGGUGUGAGGGAACUUCCCGGGGUGGCAAUGGAUAGUGUUUGUGGCCUUGGCUAUGGUGAUGGUUUCAGGGUUGUAUACAUAUGUCAGAACCGAUGAACUCGUGCUGUUUAAAUGGGCACAGUUCAUUGUAUGUCAGUUACAGCUCACCAAAGCUGUUUUUUUAGAAAAUCUGAAUUUAGAGCCACUUUGCUGCUUCGGAGCUGUAUAACCUUGUUGCAAAGCAGGGCUGGAGAUACCUGGCACCCGGGGUUGUUUGUGAAGAUUACAAACAUAACGUGUGGAAUGUGCUUAAAGCCUGUAUGUGCCCAAGAUGGUGACAUGUAGGGGUAAUCAGGUUCACACAGUAGAUCUCAUUCUCUAGGUCCGGUGGGGCCCUGCGUCAUCUGUGUGGGCCUCUGAGA
Lutra lutra (Eurasian river otter) is the source of this 1408-nucleotide long non-coding RNA. RefSeq lists it as uncharacterized. The transcript has 2 exons. The record is from RefSeq and is a predicted model, not a curated record. NCBI's taxonomy places the organism in Eukaryota, Metazoa, Chordata, Mammalia, Carnivora, Mustelidae.